GCUUGCUCCCGGAUGUUAGCGGCGGACGGGUGAGUAACACGUGGGUAACCUGCCUGUAAGACUGGGAUAACUCCGGGAAACCGGAGCUAAUACCGGAUAGUUCCUUGAACCGCAUGGUUCAAGGAUGAAAGACGGUUUCGGCUGUCACUUACAGAUGGACCCGCGGCGCAUUAGCUAGUUGGUGGGGUAAUGGCUCACCAAGGCGACGAUGCGUAGCCGACCUGAGAGGGUGAUCGGCCACACUGGGACUGAGACACGGCCCAGACUCCUACGGGAGGCAGCAGUAGGGAAUCUUCCGCAAUGGACGAAAGUCUGACGGAGCAACGCCGCGUGAGUGAUGAAGGUUUUCGGAUCGUAAAGCUCUGUUGUUAGGGAAGAACAAGUGCGAGAGUAACUGCUCGCACCUUGACGGUACCUAACCAGAAAGCCACGGCUAACUACGUGCCAGCAG
This 451-nucleotide ribosomal RNA is filed under the name Bacillus zhangzhouensis. Its description in RNAcentral is "bacterial SSU rRNA". It matches the Rfam family "Bacterial small subunit ribosomal RNA", at positions 78 to 514 of the family's 1533-position model. The record is from RNAcentral. Lineage: Bacteria; Bacillati; Bacillota; Bacilli; Caryophanales; Bacillaceae.